This 1541-nucleotide long non-coding RNA is filed under the name Capra hircus (goat). RNAcentral describes it as "lncRNA (ENSCHIG00010023172.1)". The record is from RNAcentral. Lineage: Eukaryota; Metazoa; Chordata; Mammalia; Artiodactyla; Bovidae.
UUUCUUGUUUUUGAUUUUUGGUCACACCGCAUGGUCUGUAGGGUAUCCCUGUCCAGGGAUAGAACCCAGGCCCCUGGCAGUGAAAGCGCAGAGUCCUAACCACUGGACCAGCAGGGAAUUCCUAAGAGCUGUGUUAUGGACACAUCCAGUUCGUUAUGCUCUCAGGUCUCUAGGGAGGGCCAAGCAGGCAGCUGGACAGACAGGUUGGAGUUCAGAGUCAAGGCUAGAGGCCUCAAGUGGAGACCCACAGGCAUGUUGAUGGUGGUCAGAAUUACAGGACCAGGUCGCCGGAGGAAUGAGACACAGAAAGGAGGUCGAGGGUGCCUGUGCUGGGAUUCUCCAAUGGGAAAAGCUGGGACAACAGCCCACAGGCCAACAAGGGAGGUCACAAAGGAGACACAAGGAAAGCCCACCUGACCCGGGUCUGCACCAACCACCCCUGUACCCUUGGGCAAGCUGNNNNNNNNNNNNNNNNNNNNNCUUCCUCUCUGAAACCAGAGAGGGGGGACCCAGCCCCACCCCCAUCCAGCACUGAGGUGCCUCCAGCCUGUGGCCCCUUGCCGGAUGAAGAAACCGAAGCUCAACCUUGCCAACCUUGCUUCCAGGCCUCCUACAGUCCGGCUUACGUCAGAUGAAAUACAAAAAUAUAGCAAAACCCAGCCCAAAGGGCCACCAGCCAAGGGUCGGGUGCCAAAGCAAGAUCGUGGUGCCCUGGAUUAGAAUCCAGACUCUCCCACUUGUCAGCUGGGUAACCCCAACCCCCAGAGGGUCCUUAUCUGUGAAAGUGGCCGGUGGUCCCCAGCAGGAGGGGUUGUUGCUAGAAAGGAGCCAGGUAGCGAGUAGAGCACCCGCAUGGCUCCCGGCAUGCGUGCCUCCGGGCCAGCUCCUUUCCCCCUCUAGGGAGAUUCCUUCCCUGAAUCAGAAGAGAGGGGUUCCAGGUGCCUCUACCCUUGCAGGAUAAUGCGGUCCUGCUGCACUCAGGCCUGGGCUGCGGGCUCUGCGUCACCCCUGCCGCUCACCUGCAGGCACGUGGCUGCCACGGCAGGAAUCAGGUGUCUGCAGAGACCGGCUAGCCAGUCAUCUGCUGGAUCCUGCCUGGGGCGCCACGGGGACUAGGAGGAGGGAGGGGACAUGGGCUCCUGAUCUGGCUGUGGCUGUGGACCAGCGCCACUUUCCAGGGGUCAUUAGCGUGACUGGCAAAGGGCAGUGAUGUGACAGCAGGGAAACGCUUUAGCAGAGAGCAAGCUGGAGCUCGGGCCAGUGUGUUCAGCCCGAUGACGGCUCCUGGCUCCGUGUCUCCUGGAAGCACCCGGGGGGAGGGCGGGUGGGGGAGGCAGAAACUGCAGCCACUGGAGCCUGGAUUCCUGGCCCGGCUCAGUCACGAUUAGACUAAUGACUCCACUUAGGGGGCACCUCCGCCGUGCCAGACGCCGGGCCAGUGCUCUAUGUAAGGGCUCGCCAAACCCCUGCAAGGCCAGUGAACAUGUUCCUACUGAAAAGAUGAGGAAACUGAGGCAGGGGGAGGUCCAAGGUCCCCCAGC